This 29-nucleotide non-coding RNA is filed under the name Mus musculus (house mouse). RNAcentral also lists the same sequence under 1 other name. The record is from RNAcentral. Lineage: Eukaryota; Metazoa; Chordata; Mammalia; Rodentia; Muridae.
UGGGAAUUGAACUCAGGACCUCUGGAAGA